Molecule: ribosomal RNA, 854 nt
Filed under: Neokalmusia arundinis
Lineage: Eukaryota; Fungi; Ascomycota; Dothideomycetes; Pleosporales; Didymosphaeriaceae
Description: partial large subunit ribosomal RNA
Rfam family: Eukaryotic large subunit ribosomal RNA
Source: RNAcentral
AUAGCCCCAGUAACGGCGAGUGAAGCGGCUACAGCUCAAAUUUGAAAUCUGGCCCCCUCCGGGGGUCCGAGUUGUAAUUUGCAGAGGAUGCUUUGGCGUUGGCGGCGGUCUAAGUUCCUUGGAACAGGACAUCGCAGAGGGUGAGAAUCCCGUACGUGGGCGCCUGCCUUCGCCGUGUAAAGCUCCUUCGACGAGUCGAGUUGUUUGGGAAUGCAGCUCUAAAUGGGAGGUAAAUUUCUCCUAAAGCUAAAUACCGGCCAGAGACCGAUAGCGCACAAGUAGAGUGAUCGAAAGAUGAAAAGUACUUUGGAAAGAGAGUCAAAUAGCACGUGAAAUUGUUGAAAGGGAAGCGCUUGCAGCCAGACUUGCCCGCAGUUGCUCACCCAGGCUCCCGCCUGGGGCACUCUUCCGCGGGCAGGCCAGCAUCAGUUUGGGCGGUCGGACAAAGGUCUCUGUCACGUACCACCCUCCGGGGUGGCCUUAUAGGGGAGACGCAAUGCGACCAGCCCGGACUGAGGUCCGCGCAUCUGCUAGGAUGCUGGCGUAAUGGCUGUAAGCGGCCCGUCUUGAAACACGGACCAAGGAGUCUAACAUCUAUGCGAGUGUUUGGGUGUCAAGCCCGGGCGCGUAAUGAAAGUGAACGGAGGUGGGAACCCCUCGCGGGGCGCACCAUCGACCGAUCCUGAUGUCUUCGGAUGGAUUUGAGUAAGAGCAUAGCUGUUGGGACCCGAAAGAUGGUGAACUAUGCUUGAAUAGGGUGAAGCCAGAGGAAACUCUGGUGGAGGCUCGCAGCGGUUCUGACGUGCAAAUCGAUCGUCAAAUUUGGGCAUAGGGGCGAAAGACUAAUCGAACCA